RNAcentral lists this transfer RNA (664 nucleotides) under uncultured cyanobacterium. RNAcentral describes it as "partial 16S-23S ribosomal RNA intergenic spacer". The stretch from base 234 to 307 matches the Rfam family "tRNA". Lineage: Bacteria; Bacillati; Cyanobacteriota. The record is from RNAcentral.
UAGGGAGACCUAACUAAUCAGAAAGAAUCCAAGAUUUCACGAAGCUCUUCACGGAGCGGAUGGAAGGUCAGUUCAAAAGACGAACCUACAGAGACAUCUAGAUUAGUUCAUCCCAAGGUCGUUCGAGAUUAUGGAAAACUCAAAGCUUUUGUGCUUAAUCAACAUUGUUCUGAUGUUUUGUAAAUCUCAAAAACUCACUAGAAGUUAAGAGUAAGAUAUUAAUUUAGGUUUAUGGGCUAUUAGCUCAGUUGGUUAGAGCGCACGGCUGAUAACCGUGAGGUCCCUGGUUCGAGUCCAGGAUAGCCCAUCGGGGGUUUAGCUCAGUUGGUAGAGCGCCUGCCUUGCACGCAGGAAGUCAGGAGUUCGAGUCUCCUAACCUCCACCAAACACAUAAGCAUAUUUCUUAUUCCCAACAAACUAAUUUUAGAGGACAAAGACCUCAGCAUUCUUCGUUAGAGACAUAUCAAAGAAUGCUGAAGUUAUAUUCAGCCAGAACCUUGAAAACUGCAUAGUAAUAAAUAAUCUAAAGAAAGUUAGAAGUAACAUAGAGCUUUCUAUUAAUUCUCUAAGCAUCAAGAGUUAAUACCUCAGGAAUUUAGAAAUUAGAGAAAGUAGCUAACUCAAGCGAAUCAAAAUUAGAGCCAGAGUAAAUUGAUCAAAUUGU